UACGUAGGGUGCAAGCGUUGUCCGGAAUUAUUGGGCGUAAAGAGCGUGUAGGCGGCCCGAUUAGUCCGACUGUGGAAAGUCCAGGGCCUCAACCCUGGAAUGCCGGUGGAUACUGUCGGGCUAGAGUCCGGAAAGGGGCGAGUGGAAUUCCUGGUGAUAGCGGUGAAAUGACGCAGAUAUCAGGAGGAACACCAAUGGCGAAGGCAGCUCGCUGGGACGUGACUGACGCUGAGACGCGAAAGCGUGGGGAGCAAACAGG
This 259-nucleotide ribosomal RNA is filed under the name uncultured bacterium. Its description in RNAcentral is "partial 16S ribosomal RNA". It matches the Rfam family "Bacterial small subunit ribosomal RNA", at positions 524 to 776 of the family's 1533-position model. The record is from RNAcentral.